UACGGGGGGGGCAAGCGUUGUUCGGAAUUACUGGGCGUAAAGGGCUCGUAGGUGGCCAACUAAGUCGGACGUGAAAUCCCUCAGCUUAACUGGGGAACUGCGUCCGAUACUGGAUGGCUCGAGUUUGGGAGAGGGAUGCGGAAUUCCAGGUGUAGCGGUGAAAUGCGUAGAUAUCUGGAGGAACACCGGUGGCGAAGGCGCCCACCUGGCCUGCUACUGACGCUGAAGCUCGAAAGCUAGGGGAGCAAACGGG
This 253-nucleotide ribosomal RNA is filed under the name uncultured bacterium. RNAcentral describes it as "partial 16S ribosomal RNA". It matches the Rfam family "Bacterial small subunit ribosomal RNA", at positions 524 to 776 of the family's 1533-position model. The record is from RNAcentral.